GAUGAACGCUGGCGGCGUGCCUAAUACAUGCAAGUCGAGCGAACGGACGAGAAGCUUGCUUCUCUGAUGUUAGCGGCGGACGGGUGAGUAACACGUGGAUAACCUACCUAUAAGACUGGGAUAACUUCGGGAAACCGGAGCUAAUACCGGAUGAUAUUUUGAACCGCAUGGUUCAAAAGUGAAAGACGGUCUUGCUGUCACUUAUAGAUGGAUCCGCGCUGCAUUAGCUAGUUGGUAAGGUAACGGCUUACAAAGGCAACGAGGCAUAGCCGACCUGAGAGGGUGAUCGGCCACACUGGAACUGAGACACGGUCCAGACUCCUACGGGAGGCAGCAGUAGGGAAUCUUCCGCAAUGGGCGAAAGCCUGACGGAGCAACGCCGCGUGAGUGAUGAAGGUCUUCGGAUCGUAAAACUCUGUUAUUAGGGAAGAACAUAUGUGUAAGUAACUGUGCACAUCUUGACGGUACCUAAUCAGAAAGCCACGGCUAACUACGUG
This 497-nucleotide ribosomal RNA is filed under the name uncultured bacterium. RNAcentral's name for it is "partial 16S ribosomal RNA". It matches the Rfam family "Bacterial small subunit ribosomal RNA", at positions 28 to 507 of the family's 1533-position model. The record is from RNAcentral.